RNAcentral lists this ribosomal RNA (259 nucleotides) under uncultured bacterium. Its description in RNAcentral is "partial 16S ribosomal RNA". It matches the Rfam family "Bacterial small subunit ribosomal RNA", at positions 96 to 354 of the family's 1533-position model. The record is from RNAcentral.
UGGCGGACGGGUGAGUAACGCGUGGGUAACCUGCCUUACACAGGGGGAUAACACCUGGAAACAGGUGCUAAUACCGCAUAAGCGCACAGGGCCGCAUGGCCCGGUGUGAAAAACUCCGGUGGUGUAAGAUGGACCCGCGUCUGAUUAGCUUGUUGGCGGGGUAGGGGCCCACCAAGGCGACGAUCAGUAGCCGGCCUGAGAGGGUGGACGGCCCACAUUGGGACUGAGACACGGCCCAAACUCCUACGGAAGGCAGCAG